This 87-nucleotide small RNA is filed under the name Flavobacterium caeni. Its description in RNAcentral is "Flavo-1 RNA". It matches the Rfam family "Flavo-1 RNA". The record is from Rfam by way of RNAcentral. Lineage: Bacteria; Pseudomonadati; Bacteroidota; Flavobacteriia; Flavobacteriales; Flavobacteriaceae.
UAUUUGCGUUAGGGAUUGAAGCGGCAUACUUUUGUGGCCGGAGCAAAGCGUAGGCUGCAAAAGAUAAAGCGAAAAGCCCGGCCGCAC